ACAGGAUAUUCUGAGUUCGAAGGGUCCCACAAGGCUCAUGCAGUCCAACUCUUAAGUGAAUGGCCCAGGCGGGAUGGAAAGGAGGAA
Lepidothrix coronata (blue-crowned manakin) is the source of this 87-nucleotide long non-coding RNA. RefSeq lists it as uncharacterized. The record is from RefSeq and is a predicted model, not a curated record. NCBI's taxonomy places the organism in Eukaryota, Metazoa, Chordata, Aves, Passeriformes, Pipridae. The transcript has 3 exons.